GCCGGGCACGGUGGCAUGUGCCUGUAGUCCCAGCUACUCAGGAGUCUCAGACAGAAGGAUCACUUGAGUCCAGGAGUUCUGGGCUGUAGUGCACUAUGCCGAUAGGGUGUCUACACUAAGUUUGGCAUCAAUAUGGUGACCUCCUGGGAGCAGGGGACCACCAGAUUGCCUAAGGAGGGGUGAACUGGCCCAGGUUGGAAAUGGAGCAGGUCAAAGCUCCCUUGCUGAUCAGUAGUGAGAUAGUGCCUGUGAAUAGCCACUGCACUCCAGCCUGGGCAACAUAGUGAGACCCGGUCUCUU
Non-coding RNA from Otolemur garnettii (small-eared galago), 300 nucleotides. The record is from Rfam. Lineage: Eukaryota; Metazoa; Chordata; Mammalia; Primates; Galagidae.